This 459-nucleotide ribosomal RNA is filed under the name Triticum aestivum (bread wheat). RNAcentral describes it as "partial small subunit ribosomal RNA". The record is from RNAcentral. Lineage: Eukaryota; Viridiplantae; Streptophyta; Magnoliopsida; Poales; Poaceae.
AUGUCGAAGAAUGUACUUGCAUGCGGGAUUGACUUCAUCAACACGCACGUGGACGUUUGUCCCGACAAGACGAUCUUGCAGUAUAGCGUGACAUGCAAGAUAUGGGAUGGUGACUUCCACCACAAACUUCUGAGGACGCAUUUUGCCAUGCAUGGUGAUUUCAAGCUCACAUUGAAAAAAUAUGAGCUUGCACCACACAACCGAGAUGACAAGUGUGGCCACCACUACGCGAUCUGCGUUGACCUGAAGUACCAACGUUUUGAGGUGCUUGAUUUGAUCCGCUCAGAAGAAGAUACAUAUCUGACGACGCAUGCUGAAUUCUUCAUCGCUAACCUGAAAGAGGCAUGGAAGCGACACUACCAAAACUCGAAGGUCCAGAUCAGCCAUUUUCCAAUUGAGUAUGUGACGACUGAGAAGCAAGGAAACGGGCACGACUGCGGCUUUCAUGCUUUGGAGUAG